This 75-nucleotide transfer RNA is filed under the name Francisella tularensis subsp. holarctica. Its description in RNAcentral is "tRNA-Trp". It matches the Rfam family "tRNA". From Rfam's summary of the family: Transfer RNA (tRNA) molecules are approximately 80 nucleotides in length. Their secondary structure includes four short double-helical elements and three loops (D, anti-codon, and T loops). Lineage: Bacteria; Pseudomonadati; Pseudomonadota; Gammaproteobacteria; Thiotrichales; Francisellaceae. The record is from RNAcentral.
GGGAAGUAGUUCAAUUGGUAGAGCAGCGGUCUCCAAAACCGCAAGGUGGGGGUUCGAGUCCCUCCUGGCCUGCCA